AUGACUUCGAACAUUUCUCUGGAAUCCACUGAUGUUGACACUAGUCACAAGAUUGAAAAAACAAAGUCAUGCAACGGAGUGCAGCGACCAGGCGACAGUUACCUGAACAUUCUGGUGGCACCAACAGUGAAUGAUGAGAUGAUGAUGGUGGAGCUGCUAUUGGCUUCUAUGUAUGUUACCAGCCGGGACUGUGUGAAGGAACACCAGUUCCUAGCGGAAGAAAGACGUGGG
This is a long non-coding RNA of Neopelma chrysocephalum (saffron-crested tyrant-manakin), 231 nucleotides long. RefSeq lists it as uncharacterized. The transcript is spliced from 3 exons. The record is from RefSeq and is a predicted model, not a curated record. NCBI's taxonomy places the organism in Eukaryota, Metazoa, Chordata, Aves, Passeriformes, Pipridae.